GGACUACUAGGGUUUCUAAUCCUGUUUGCUCCCCACGCUUUCGCGCCUCAGCGUCAGUUGUGAGCCAGAAAGCCGCCUUCGCCUCUGGUGUUCUUCCUAAUAUCUACGAAUUUCACCUCUACACUAGGAAUUCCACUUUCCUCUCUCACACUCUAGCCUACCAGUAUGAAACGCACCUCCUGGGUUAAGCCCAGGGCUUUCACGCCUCACUUAAUAGACCGCCUACGCGCCCUUUACGCCCAGUCAUUCCGAACAACGCUAGCCCCCUCCGUCUUACCGCGGCUGCUGGCAC
This 292-nucleotide ribosomal RNA is filed under the name uncultured bacterium. RNAcentral describes it as "partial 16S ribosomal RNA". The record is from RNAcentral.